Molecule: ribosomal RNA, 492 nt
Filed under: uncultured bacterium
Lineage: Bacteria
Description: partial 16S ribosomal RNA
Rfam family: Bacterial small subunit ribosomal RNA
Source: RNAcentral
AUUGAACGCUGGCGGCAUGCUUUACACAUGCAAGUCGAACGGUAACAGGCCUUCGGGUGCUGACGAGUGGCGAACGGGUGAGUAAUGCAUCGGAACGUACCCAGAGGUGGGGGAUAACGCAGCGAAAGCUGUGCUAAUACCGCAUGUGAUCUGAGGAUGAAAGCGGGGGACCGAGCAGCAAUGUUUGGCCUCGCGCCUUUGGAGCGGCCGAUGUCGGAUUAGCUAGUUGGUGGGGUAAAGGCCUACCAAGGCGACGAUCCGUAGCUGGUCUGAGAGGACGACCAGCCACACUGGGACUGAGACACGGCCCAGACUCCUACGGGAGGCAGCAGUGGGGAAUUUUGGACAAUGGACGCAAGCCUGAUCCAGCAAUGCCGCGUGCGGGAAGAAGGCCUUCGGGUUGUAAACCGCUUUUGGCAGGAACGAAACGGUGUCCGCUAAUACCGGGCGCUAAUGACGGUACCUGCAGAAUAAGCACCGGCUAACUACGUG